This is a long non-coding RNA of Nicotiana tabacum (common tobacco), 2221 nucleotides long. RefSeq lists it as uncharacterized. NCBI's taxonomy places the organism in Eukaryota, Viridiplantae, Streptophyta, Magnoliopsida, Solanales, Solanaceae. The record is from RefSeq and is a predicted model, not a curated record.
GCUUGUAAGAUCCUUUCCCCGUUAUCUCUAUGUUUGGAACGAUCAUUCCUAGUUGGGUCCAAGCUUUCCUACGUUUGGUUCCUGUGUUGUCGAGAAUACACUUUGGAGUACGUAGUCCCCGAUCUGGAAGUGUUGGAGGUUGGUUUCUUUAUUGUAAUAUUUCUCAAUCUUCUACUUCUAGGUGGCCAUUCGGAUUAGGGCCAACUCUCAGCGUCCCUCAAGUAAAUCCAAUUGUGCAAUCAGUGUUUCGUUAUUGCCUUCUUCCGUAGCGUGAGCAAGCCUUAGGCUAGGUUCCUCUAUUUCUGCCGAAAUGAGUGCUUUGACACCAUAUACCAAGGAAAAGAGGGGGUUUUCCGUGCUGGACUUCGUUGUUAUUCUGUAGGCCAAAGUACUACAGCCAACUCAUCUAUCUAGUUGCCCCUAGCUACUUUCAAUCUUUUAUUUAACGAAUUUAGCAAGGCCCUAUUCAAUAAUUUCGCAUGUUUGUUUGCUCCGGGAUGGUACGAUUUGGAGGUAACUCUCUUCAUCCUCCAAUCCUGGAAGAAUUCUACUAUUUUGCCUCCGCUAAACUGAGGUCCAUUAGCAGAGGUUAUUUCCUUUGGAAGUCUAAAUCUGUAAAUAAUGUUCCUUCAUAUGAAGCCUAUGACUUCCUUUUCUCUGAUCUGGCCGAAUGUGCCAGCUUCUAUACAUAUGGAGAAAUAGUCUAUAGUCUAUGAGUACUAGGAGAAAUAUUACUUUUCCCGGGGCUUGUGGUAAUGGUCUCACAAUAUCCAUCCCUCAUUUCAUGAAGGACCAUGGAUCUAGAAUUGAGUUAAAAAGCUCCACAGUUGGUGUAAUCGUCGAGCGAACCACUGUAUUUCCCACAUUCUUUUAUGAAAUCUGCAACAUAUCGUUUCAUCUAGGGUCAAAGGUAACCGGCCCUAUAGCUUUUGACAUCCCACAAAUGGUUUAUUUAGUUUUCUUUGUGAACUUCUUGUAUCACAUAAUCAACAUAUCUGGGCCCAAAUACUUGGCCAGUGGGCCGAUGUAGGUUUUUCGGUACAAAUUGUCUGAUACAAGGCAAUAUUUGGAUGUUUUGUUUUCGAGCUUCAGAAAUCUUUGAUUAUCUUUCGGCAAUGCUUCAUUCUCAAAAUAGUCGAUGAUUGCACCAUGCUAAUCCUGAACCAGGUGAACUAUAUUCACCUCAUCUUGUUGUUGAUUUAUGUUUGAGUAGAAUAGAUGAACCACCGAAUUUUCUCUUGAUCAAUGAUGCUUAAAGUUUCCCCUAGCGUGUCUAGGGCAUCAACUUUGACUUGUUCUUCCCAAGGUAUUUGAGUGGCCUUACAUUCACGAAAUUGACCAAAGAGGGAAAUGACUCUGUUCAAGAACUGCAUUAUUCGCAAGUCUCAUGCCUUUGGUCGGGGUAAUAACUACAUUUCCUAACCCGGAUCCUUUGGUACUCAAGGGUCGUCAUUGUAUAAGGUACAGAGCCUUGGCUUUGUUCUGAAAGUUAUCACUUCCUUCUCGGCCUCUGGGAGUAUGAUCGCACUAAAGUCAGCAACAAAGUUAAUUAGGACUUGUGACUUGAUGGCGGUGCGAGGUUGAUAUGUUAUAUCAAAUGCAAUUAAUUUGAUUGCCCAUUUGGCAAGCCUCUCGAAAAGAUCCAGCUUAUGAAGAAUAUUUUGUGGUGGAAAGGUGGUCACCAUGAAGACAGGGUAACAUUAGAAGUAAGGCCUUAGUUUCAGGGAGGCCAUUACAAGUGCUAAGACUAGUUUCUCUAGGAGAGGAUGCCUAGUUUCAGAAUCUUUACGUGCCUUAUUAACAUAGUAGAUAGAGGAUUGCAUACCUUUUUCUUCUCAUACCAACACGACACUUACAACAGUUUUAGACAUGACUGGAUACACCAAAAAUUGCUCUACUGGUUGUGGCUUGGAUAGGAACGAUGGAUUCGACAGGUACCUUUUUAGAUCCCGGGGUGCUUGUUGACAUUUGGGAGUGCGCUCAAAGUCUUUAUUCUUCUUUUAAUGAUGUGAAGAUUGUUAUAUCUUUGUGAGUAACAGGAUAUGAAUUGGCUAAGGGAUGUUAUCUAUCCGGUCAGCCUCAUCACCUCUUUCUAGUUUUUCAAUAUUAUUGAGAUCUUGUAAUGGGUUUUAUCUACAUGGGGUUAUCUUGUAUUCCUCUAUUUGAGACUAAGAAUCUUAUUUGAGACUACUCUGAAGGCGCAUUUCUCCGGGUUCAACUU